UACGGGGGGGGCAAGCGUUGUUCGGAAUUACUGGGCGUAAAGGGCUCGUAGGUGGCCAACUAAGUCAGACGUGAAAUCCCUCGGCUUAACCGGGGAACUGCGUCUGAUACUGGAUGGCUUGAGUUCGGGAGAGGGAUGCAGAAUUCCAGGUGUAGCGGUGAAAUGCGUAGAUAUCUGGAGGAAUACCGGUGGCGAAGGCGGCAUCCUGGACCGGCAUUGACGCUGAGGCACGAAAGCGUGGGGAGCAAACAGG
RNAcentral lists this ribosomal RNA (253 nucleotides) under uncultured bacterium. Its description in RNAcentral is "partial 16S ribosomal RNA". It matches the Rfam family "Bacterial small subunit ribosomal RNA", at positions 524 to 776 of the family's 1533-position model. The record is from RNAcentral.